GUUGAUAAAAAGAGAAUGACUCACAUUGCAGUUUUACGAGCAGAGAAUCCUUCCAGUUUAUCGACCCAAAUAAGAUUUGGCUUAAUCGGUCUUUGGGUUUUUAACAAGAAGUUGCAAUGCAAGGGGAUGAUCCACGGAUCAUGAAGACAAGAUUGAGACAAUGGGCACAAGUUGUUGCUUGUUCGUUACGUCAAUCAUCAUCGUCACCGCUAUCAUCAUCCCUGUGA
RNAcentral lists this long non-coding RNA (227 nucleotides) under Helianthus annuus (common sunflower). RNAcentral describes it as "hypothetical non coding rna". Lineage: Eukaryota; Viridiplantae; Streptophyta; Magnoliopsida; Asterales; Asteraceae. The record is from RNAcentral.